This 1097-nucleotide ribosomal RNA is filed under the name uncultured bacterium. Its description in RNAcentral is "bacterial SSU rRNA". It matches the Rfam family "Bacterial small subunit ribosomal RNA", at positions 51 to 1140 of the family's 1533-position model. The record is from RNAcentral.
ACACAUGCAAGUCGAGGGGCAGCAUGAAGUUUGCUUGCAAACUUUGAUGGCGACCGGCGCACGGGUGAGUAACGCGUAUCCAACCUUCCCUAUAGUAGAGAAUAGCCCGGCGAAAGUCGGAUUAAUGCUCUAUGUUAUUCAAAGCGGACAUCUAAUUUGAAUCAAAGGUUCACCGCUAUAGGAUGGGGAUGCGUCUGAUUAGCUUGAUGGCGGGGUAACGGCCCACCAUGGCGACGAUCAGUAGGGGUUCUGAGAGGAAGGUCCCCCACAUUGGAACUGAGACACGGUCCAAACUCCUACGGGAGGCAGCAGUGAGGAAUAUUGGUCAAUGGGCGAGAGCCUGAACCAGCCAAGUAGCGUGCAGGAUGACGGCCCUAUGGGUUGUAAACUGCUUUUAUGCGGGGAUAAAGUCGGCUACGCGUAGCCGUUUGUACGUACCGCAUGAAUAAGGACCGGCUAAUUCCGUGCCAGCAGCCGCGGUAAUACGGAAGGUCCGGGCGUUAUCCGGAUUUAUUGGGUUUAAAGGGAGCGCAGGCCAGGAGGUCAAGCGUGACGUGAAAUGUAGCCGCUCAACGGCUGAGUUGCGUCGCGAACUGGUUUCCUUGAGUGAGUACGACGUCAGCGGAAUUCGUGGUGUAGCGGUGAAAUGCUUAGAUAUCACGAAGAACCCCGAUUGCGAAGGCAGCUGACGAGUCCUUUACUGACGCUAAAGCUCGAAGGUGCGGGUAUCGAACAGGAUUAGAUACCCUGGUAGUCCGCACGGUAAACGAUGGAUGCCCGCUGUUUGCGAUAUAUUGUAAGCGGCCAAGCGAAAGCGUUAAGCAUCCCACCUGGGGAGUACGCCGGCAACGGUGAAACUCAAAGGAAUUGACGGGGGCCCGCACAAGCGGAGGAACAUGUGGUUUAAUUCGAUGAUACGCGAGGAACCUUACCCGGGCUUGAACUGCAGGAGAACGAUCCAGAGAUGGUGAGGCCCUUCGGGGCUCCUGUGGAGGUGCUGCAUGGUUGUCGUCAGCUCGUGCCGUGAGGUGUCGGCUUAAGUGCCAUAACGAGCGCAACCCCUUUCGCCAGUUGCCAUCAGGUGAUGCUGGGCACUC